ACAGCCAUACCAUGCUGAAUAUACCGGUUCUCGUUAAAUCACCGAAGUCAAGCAUCAUUGGGCGCGGUCAGUAUUUGGGUGGGUGACCACCUGGGAACACCGCGUGCCGUU
This 111-nucleotide ribosomal RNA is filed under the name Caerostris extrusa. Lineage: Eukaryota; Metazoa; Arthropoda; Arachnida; Araneae; Araneidae. The record is from RNAcentral.